CGCGCGAGGUGGUUGUUACGUAUGGUUGCCCAGAGGCCGGUUCUUGUGUUGCCUACCCCCUCAGGGGAAGCGCGGUCCACUUGAUGUAAGCCUCCGUCCGGCGCCCCCAGCGGGCGCCGGAGGACAGCGGAGCACCCCCCGCGUUCCACCGAGCCCUCGCCGGUCGCGUGGCCCGCGGGGACGUGCGAUGCUCUCGGACCCAGCGCACGCCGUGGGCGGGGANUCGCUCCCCGGCCCCAAAGAGAAGCUCCCAUGCAAUCGCAUGACGGCCGCCCCCGCCCCUCGACCGCCCCGGCGGUGCGAGGGCGGGCGGCGUCGCGUAGGAACGCUACCUGGUUGAUCCUGCCAGUAGUCAUAUGCUUGUCUCAAAGAUUAA
This 376-nucleotide unclassified non-coding RNA is filed under the name Acacia saligna. RNAcentral's name for it is "partial contains external transcribed spacer and 18S ribosomal RNA". The stretch from base 330 to 376 matches the Rfam family "Eukaryotic small subunit ribosomal RNA", at positions 1 to 47 of the family's 1831-position model. The record is from RNAcentral. Lineage: Eukaryota; Viridiplantae; Streptophyta; Magnoliopsida; Fabales; Fabaceae.